GGCGAACGGGUGAGUAAUACAUGGGCAACCUGCCUUCGAGGGGGGAAUAACUAGCCGAAAGGCUAGCUAAUACCGCAUACGCUUCCGGUCCUUCGGGUAAGGAAGGAAAGCUACACCGUGGGUGUGGCGCUCGAAGAGGGGCUCAUGGCCUAUCAGCUUGUUGGUAGGGUAACGGCCUACCAAGGCAACGACGGGUAGCUGGUCUGAGAGGACGAUCAGCCACACUGGCACUGAGACACGGGCCAGACUCCUACGGGAGGCAGCAGUGAGGAAUAUUGCGCAAUGGGCGAAAGCCUGACGCAGCGACGCCGCGUGGGGGAAGAAGGUCUUCGGAUUGUAAACCCCUUUCAGGAGGAAAGAUGGGAUGGGUAACCAUUCGGACGGUACCUCCAGAAGAAGCCACGGCUAACUUCGUGCCAGCAGCCGCGGUAAUACGAAGGUGGCGAGCGUUGUUCGGAUUUACUGGGCGUAAAGAGCACGUAGGCGGUUUGGUAAGCCCCUUGGGAAAGCUCCAGGCUUAACCUGAAAGGUCGAGGGGGACUGCAAGCCUAGAGGACGGGAG
Molecule: ribosomal RNA, 562 nt
Filed under: uncultured bacterium
Lineage: Bacteria
Also listed under: 1 other name
Description: bacterial SSU rRNA
Rfam family: Bacterial small subunit ribosomal RNA
Source: RNAcentral